CAAGUCGAACGAGAAAGCGGGAGCAAUCUCGCAAGUAAAGUGGCGUACGGGUGAGUAACACGUGGAUUAUCUGCCCUGGAGUGGGGAAUAACGCUGGGAAACCGGCGCUAAUACCGCAUAUUCCCGAGAGGGGAAAGCAGCAAUGCGCUCGAGGAGGAGUCCGCGGCCGAUUAGCUAGUUGGCAGGGUAAAAGCCUACCAAGGCUAUGAUCGGUAGCCGGCCUGAGAGGGCACACGGCCACACUGGCACUGAAACACGGGCCAGACUCCUACGGGAGGCAGCAGUGGGGAAUCUUGCACAAUGGGGGAAACCCUGAUGCAGCGACGCCGCGUGAGCGAUGAAGCCCUUCGGGGUGUAAAGCUCUUUCGGCAGGGAAGAUUAUGACGGUACCUGCAGAAGCAGCUGCGGCUAACUACGUGCCAGCAGCCGCGGUAAUACGUAGGCAGCAAGCGUUGUUCGGAGUUACUGGGCGUAAAGGGUGUGUAGGCGGCCUGUUAAGUUCCGUGUGAAAUCUCCCGGCUCAACCGGGAGGGUGCGCGGAAUACUGACGGGCUAGAGUGCGGGAUGGGAGAGUAGAAUUCCUGGUGUAGCGGUGAAAUGCGUAGAUAUCAGGAGGAAUACCAGUGGUGUAGACGGCUCUCUGGACCGCAACUGACGCUGAGACACGAAAGCGUGGGUAGCAAACAGGAUUAGAUACCCUGGUAGUCCACGCCCUAAACGAUGCAUAUUUGGUGUAGGUCAUUCAGUUGAUCUGUGCCGGAGCUAACGCGUUAAAUAUGCCGCCUGGGGAGUACAGUCGCAAGGCUGAAACUCAAAGGAAUUGACGGGGGCCCGCACAAGCGGUGGAGCAUGUGGUUCAAUUCGACGCAACGCGAAGAACCUUACCUGGGCUCGAACGGCUGGUCAAC
RNAcentral lists this ribosomal RNA (908 nucleotides) under uncultured Bacillota bacterium. Its description in RNAcentral is "bacterial SSU rRNA". It matches the Rfam family "Bacterial small subunit ribosomal RNA", at positions 58 to 997 of the family's 1533-position model. The record is from RNAcentral. Lineage: Bacteria; Bacillati; Bacillota.